UACGUAGGGGGCAAGCGUUAUCCGGAUUUACUGGGUGUAAAGGGGGCGCAGACGGCAGCGCAAGCCAGGAGUGAAAGCCCGGGGCCCAACCCCGGGACUGCUCUUGGAACUGCGCGGCUGGAGUGCAGGAGGGGCAGGCGGAAUUCCUGGUGUAGCGGUGAAAUGCUUAGAGAUCAUACAGAACACCGAUUGCGAAGGCAGCUUACCAAUCUAUAUCUGACGUUGAGGCACGAAAGCGUGGGGAGCAAACAGG
Molecule: ribosomal RNA, 253 nt
Filed under: uncultured bacterium
Lineage: Bacteria
Description: partial 16S ribosomal RNA
Rfam family: Bacterial small subunit ribosomal RNA
Source: RNAcentral